UCUCCGUAGGUGAACCUGCGGAGGGAUCAUUACAGAGUUCAUGCCCUACCGGGUAGGUCUCCCACCCUAUGUUAUUAUUACUUUGUUGCUUUGGCGGGCCGUUAGGCUCCGGCCCGACUACCGGCCCCGGCUGGUAAGCGCCCGCCAGAGGACCCAAAACCCUGAAUAUUAGUGUCGUCUGAGUACUAUAUAAUAGUUAAAACUCUCAACAACGGAUCUCUUGGUUCUG
This 229-nucleotide unclassified non-coding RNA is filed under the name plant metagenome. Its description in RNAcentral is "partial contains small subunit ribosomal RNA, internal transcribed spacer 1, and 5.8S ribosomal RNA". The record is from RNAcentral.